GUAGAAGGGCAGGCAUGGGGCUGGAGCCUCGAUCUUCCUUGCCCUCUCUGUAGUCUUGGGCGCUGGUGGAGCACCCCAGCUCUCCUUGGGUUCUCCUUCUACCUGUGGGGUGGCCCUAUGCUCCUGGGGGAUGCUGUCCUUAGUGCCUGUGAGCUCCCCAGGGGUAGGACUCCCAUGAGCACCCCCUGGCUGACUGUGAUCUCCUCCCCCUCUCAUAAGGUGGCACCAGGCCACCCACUGACCAGGAGCACCCCCAGGGAGGUGCCUCAAAGGCCCAAGAAUCCUCUCCACACAGGGCCCCGCUUGGUGGGAUGAAGGGCCUAGUGCCCUUCUAGACAGCAGGAAUUGUUAGCAAGUUUUUCCUUCUCUCUCAUUGCCACUCGUUGCUUCUAGUUCUGGCCUCCUGGAGCCCAAGUGAACAGACCACUCCUUCCAUUAUGGACCAGAGGAGGAGGGUCAUGGCAGCAGCCAUGAAUGCCCCGGGGCCUCACCCUCUCCUCUGGCCCUAGGUGCUCACCAGAGCUCCACCCUCCGCCCCAACGGCGUUCUGCCCACCAACCCAGACGGGUGCUCAGCCUCGGCCACGCUUGGCCCCUGGAAAAUUGGAAUGAGCUGAUCCCCUCCCCAACAGCAGGGCUUUCCAGUGAGAGGGGGGCUGGGAAAAUUCCUCAGGGAGUAAAUGGUGGCACCAGCCUGCCUUUGCCUGGCUCCUGAGCCUCAGUGGGGGUCUCCUUAAGCCCCCAGUCUCCAGCCUCUGCUCGUCUCUCUGCAUGUGGUAGCCGAGGCACCCCCGCAUGCCUCCUGUUACGUCUCUGACCCCUCCUUAUGUAUUUCCAGCAGCUUCAUCUCCCUCCCACCUGCCUGGGGAGUGGGCACCGGAAGCCUGCCAUCCACACUAGGGGACCACCAGAGAGUCAUUUGGCUUGUAAGAGCCUCCCUAAAAGGGGAUGAUAGCACCUUUCGUACCCAACUCCCAGGAUUGAUGUGAGAACCAGAGAAGAUUUCUCCAAUGCAUACCUCACAUGGCAUCUACAGCACAGUCUUAAUGACUGUGACGUGUCCCAGCUGGCUCUCUCUGCUGCCCUUUUAAUUUUUCGGAAGCCUCAGUGUUCUCGGACUUGCAAUUCCACCUCCUGGCCAGAAGAUCAAAAGUGUCGAAGGGGCCCGCGCUUGGCAUCAGUGACAGAAAAGGAACACUUUCCCCAAGGCCGUCCAUUCUGGCACCAGCUGCUAGGAUAGUCCGCUUUUAUCUUUGAGGGUGUUCUCAUGGCGCGACCCGCUCUCUUGAGCCGUCCGCCAAACUGUAUAUCCGAGUAUUGAUGGACAACAGGCUUUCUUCAUCCACUUACUUUUCCCUGUGUGAACACUGUUGAUUCUGGAUCUCACUUAGAAGGCUCUGUUCUGGGACUGGACGCAAUUGCACAAUGUCGCUGGCCGCUGAGUCCAGGCAGGCCUCGCCAUUUACGGGGAAGCCCAUCCGCACCGCCUCAUCCCCGUGGCAGAUGCCGUUGGUGAGCGCACGACUCCUUUUCCCCCCCUUGCCUGAUAUUCCUAGCCAGAGGUUUAUCAGAGAGUGGCACCUCGGUUGUUAACACCUUUCAAGGAGGCUCAUAUGAUUUUGACACAGGCACAGGUGGUCACUUUGUCAGUGGGGUGCUUUGAAGGCAGGCCGUAUUCUGCCUUACUGAAUUAAGUGCUUUUUAAAAAUGUCCAACAAACAAUAAACAUAGGAAUUUUUUCCCCUA
Molecule: long non-coding RNA, 1745 nt
Organism: Phascolarctos cinereus (koala)
Lineage: Eukaryota; Metazoa; Chordata; Mammalia; Diprotodontia; Phascolarctidae
Source: RefSeq, a predicted model, not a curated record